AAGCCCAACGCUCGGUCAUCCAAGACCCUAGCUAGGGUUUCGGGUUGGCCCUAUAAAAUGGGGAUCUAGGGUUUUGCGGUCGCUCUUCAUCCCGCCGACUCCUCCUUCCCUUGGCAUCAGACAGCGAGAGAGAGAGAGAGCGGAAGGCGUUCGCCGGAGAAGACGGCGAGGUAACCAGCCAUGGUCCACGUUAGCUUCUACCGCAACUGUGAGUCUCUUCUCCCUCCUCUCCUCGUCCUUUAUCCCAGAUCCUGUUCCCUUUCUCGCUAGACUACUCAAUUUCAACUUGUGAGUCGUUGAUUUCAAUCGUUUCAGGCUGCUUUUCUUGUUUACAUUGGAAAAUUUUGCCACUAAAAUGGCUAUGUUGCUUAUGGUUUUGUCAAUCUGAUCGAGUUAGUCCUAAUCGAUGCGAUCUCGACGUUUUUAGAUGUAUGCUUUAUUUGGAGAUUGUAUUUUUUGAUUUUUUUUCUUGGAUUUUGCGGAAUAUCGGUUUUGCAACUUUGUUUUUUGGAUUCGAGGCUUUGUGCAUUCGUAUGCAUAUGCUUACUUUAAAAAAUGAGUUUUUUUGCCCCCGAUCGUGUUGUAUUGAUGGGAAAAUAAGAAGUAGAUCGCACUCGUUUAGAACCAUUAAGUCUCUACCUCAUCAAUUUUUUUUUGUUAUUUUGGAAGCAAUAAAAUUUCUAAUCGAUGGAUAGGUAUAUGAUUGUACUUUGUCUUUUAAAUGAUCUUUUCAUCAAAUAUAUUAUGAUUUUGAUUAGUUCUGGUUGAAUAUAUUUUCUUUUUGCAUAGUUAAAGAGGAUUUAGAUAUUGGUUUUGAUUAUUUCUACAAUGUGAGAUAUUUUAAUGGAAUAAUGUCAAUAUGUAUAGAUGGGAAGACUUUCNN
Molecule: long non-coding RNA, 883 nt
Filed under: Phoenix dactylifera (date palm)
Lineage: Eukaryota; Viridiplantae; Streptophyta; Magnoliopsida; Arecales; Arecaceae
Description: long non-coding RNA (PDAC_LNC000099)
Source: RNAcentral